Long non-coding RNA from Bombina bombina (fire-bellied toad), 958 nucleotides. RefSeq lists it as uncharacterized. Lineage: Eukaryota; Metazoa; Chordata; Amphibia; Anura; Bombinatoridae. The record is from RefSeq and is a predicted model, not a curated record. The transcript has 5 exons.
GCCUUUAAACAUUGAGUUUACUGAGUUUAAAGCUGGCAAAAAGUGUCACGGUUGGUAACAGGUGGAAUCUGUAAUGCAUACAGCAGUGAAAGGAAUUUUGCUUUGCAUUCUUGCGGCUUGUGGAAGAAGUCAGACAUCAAUUUGCUCACAGGAAGCACAAUAAUUACUGCAGUACGGUAAAGAUAAAUAAUUAGCAAUGUGAGCAAAGGUCAGAUUUUGUUUCAAAGUAGUUAUUACAGAUGAAGACUUCGGACCCUCUUCUGGACCUCUUCUUGCCGUAUAGGAUGAAGACUUCGGACCCUCUUCUGGACGGAUCGGUGAUACCCGGCGUGGUGAAGAUAAGACUCCUAACCAAGCCCCAAAGUUUUCGGACAAUACCGACAGAUACCUACUCCAGCUUGCUCCUGUUUGUGUAAAGGGUCUUUUCAUAUGCAAAAGAAGGAGAGUGAGGGGAGUGUCUUAUUUCCCACUUGCAGUGGGCUUUCCAGCUACUAUUUCAACAGAGCUAAACUGAGAACUUCUAAGGACGGUUCUAGGACAUCGAAUUAACAGCUGACUGCUAUCAGGGAAUCGCCUAGGGGAUUUUUAUCACCAGGAUUCAAGGGACGGUUCUAGGACAUCAAAUUAACCGCUGACUGCUAUCAGGGAAUCACCUAGGGGAUUUUUAUCACCAGGAUUCAAGAAGCAACAGAACACGAUGCAAUAAUCGGAGAGGUCACGUGAAGAGAACGGUAGCGGCACGGCUAGGGGCAGGACGUUGACUAAUUGGUUGAGUCGCAGUAAGGCCGCCCGUGCUCCUCAAUAAGGGGAAGAACACAGUGCAACCGAAGGGCAGCAGGUGACCUGGCGGUCUACGCUGGCUGGAGGAUAAAAAUCAGCAGCUGUUUUUUUUUUUGUUUGUAGUUAAAUAAUACAAUCACAACAAGCAGUGAAGUUUGGCUCUGGCACGUGGGCGGGG